CUCCGCUUCCUCCUCACAACAAAAAUGUACGAGAGAUUUUAAAACUGAAACAAAAACCCCGAAAAACUAAAAAGAACGAACCCGAUUUGUGAUUUUUUUUUUAACACAAAGACGAGAGAAGAAGCUCAAACGAGUUUCGUGAGACGUUGGAGUUUUAAUCUGCUCGUGUUUCUCCUCGGGGCGACUCUGACGCUCUGACUUCACGUGAAUCACGGAGCAGGAGACGAUUUUGAAACAACGACUCGUCAGAACGACACGUCGCCCCUGACUGAUCCAGAUCCAGGUCCUGAUCCAGACCCUGAUCCAGAUCCAGGUCCUGAUCCAGGUCCUAAAUCCAGACCCUGAUCCAGAUCAUGGAGAAAGUAACUGGGAUUUCUUGUAUCACCUACAAAGACGUGACAUGAGAUUUAACAACAUUUAAACUGUUCUUCUGAUUUACGCGACGAUCGUUCGGUUCGUCACGUUUGGAGUUUUAAAUUUAGAAUUUUCUAACUCAGAAUAAAACCGUUCAGACGUG
Molecule: long non-coding RNA, 517 nt
Organism: Boleophthalmus pectinirostris (great blue-spotted mudskipper)
Lineage: Eukaryota; Metazoa; Chordata; Actinopteri; Gobiiformes; Gobiidae
Exons: 2
Source: RefSeq, a predicted model, not a curated record